RNAcentral lists this signal recognition particle RNA (293 nucleotides) under Nelumbo nucifera (sacred lotus). RNAcentral's name for it is "Plant signal recognition particle RNA". It matches the Rfam family "Plant signal recognition particle RNA". The record is from Rfam by way of RNAcentral. Lineage: Eukaryota; Viridiplantae; Streptophyta; Magnoliopsida; Proteales; Nelumbonaceae.
ACUGAGCUCGGUAGCGUGAGCUUAUAACCCAAGCAGGGGCAAGGAGGCGGUCGAACAUUGAUUCGGUUCUAACGGGUAGGGUUUGUUGAGGCUUGAUCUGGUUCGCCCAGUCUAAGUAGGGAGUUGGACCACGCGACUCGGGCGAAGUCUCGGGUUUCAAGGUCCUUAGAGUGGAGGGCCCCGCGUCAGGCUGGUUUCGCAGAGCAACGACAACCCUCUUCUCGUCGGUGGAAGGAUAACGAAUCGGUGCCUCGCUGUCCCACUGAACAGAGUUCAAUCAGACGGCCACCUUU